RNAcentral lists this unclassified non-coding RNA (253 nucleotides) under uncultured Bacillota bacterium. Its description in RNAcentral is "uncultured Firmicutes bacterium contains 16S-23S intergenic spacer region". It matches the Rfam family "Bacterial small subunit ribosomal RNA", at positions 524 to 776 of the family's 1533-position model. Lineage: Bacteria; Bacillati; Bacillota. The record is from RNAcentral.
UACGUAGGGGGCGAGCGUUGUCCGGAAUCACUGGGCGUAAAGGGUGCGUAGGCGGCCUGGCAAGUCUCGUGUGAAAGGCUCCGGCUUAACCGGAGAGGGCCACGGGAAACUGGUGGGCUUGAGGGCCGGAGAGGAUGGCGGAAUUCCCGGUGUAGCGGUGAAAUGCGUAGAUAUCGGGAGGAACCCCAGUGGCGAAGGCGGCCAUCUGGACGGACCCUGACGCUGAGGCACGAAAGCUGGGGGAGCAAACAGG